Molecule: ribosomal RNA, 431 nt
Filed under: uncultured Paracoccaceae bacterium
Lineage: Bacteria; Pseudomonadati; Pseudomonadota; Alphaproteobacteria; Rhodobacterales; Paracoccaceae
Description: bacterial SSU rRNA
Rfam family: Bacterial small subunit ribosomal RNA
Source: RNAcentral
AACGAACGCUGGCGGCAGGCUUAACACAUGCAAGUCGAGCGCCCUUUUCGGAGGGAGCGGCGGACGGGUGAGUAACGCGUGGGAACGUGCCCUUUUCUGCGGAAUAAUCAUUGGAAACGAUGACUAAUACCGCAUACGCCCUAUUGGGGAAAGAUUUAUCGGAGAAGGAUCGGCCCGCGUUGGAUUAGGUAGUUGGUGGGGUAAAGGCCUACCAAGCCGACGAUCCAUAGCUGGUUUGAGAGGAUGAUCAGCCACACUGGGACUGAGACACGGCCCAGACUCCUACGGGAGGCAGCAGUGGGGAAUCUUAGACAAUGGGGGCAACCCUGAUCUAGCCAUGCCGCGUGGACGAAGAAGGCCUUAGGGUUGUAAAGUCCUUUCGCUAGGGAAGAUAAUGACGGUACCUAGUAAAGAAGCCCCGGCUAACUCCG